GUCCAGAGUAACAAAAUAGGAUUCAGAUAUACAAUUAAACAAAUAUUUAAUGUCAAUUGUUCACUUAUUCACUUUAUUCAUCUAUUUGUAAUAAUAACAAUUUGUAUAACUAAAAAUAAAGAUUUUGAUAAAUGUUUGUUUAAAUUUAACCCAUAUGAUCCCAAAACAUGUCUGAUCAGCUGGACCGUACGCGUAUACUCAUACGGUCCGACCGUACGCGUAUGGUCGGACCGUACGAGUAUACGUAUACGGUCCGGACCGUACGCGUACGGUCCAAAUACUCAUAUGGUCUGGAACAACUAUAUA
RNAcentral lists this long non-coding RNA (306 nucleotides) under Mytilus galloprovincialis (Mediterranean mussel). The record is from RNAcentral. Lineage: Eukaryota; Metazoa; Mollusca; Bivalvia; Mytilida; Mytilidae.